Molecule: non-coding RNA, 71 nt
Organism: Parelaphostrongylus tenuis
Lineage: Eukaryota; Metazoa; Nematoda; Chromadorea; Rhabditida; Metastrongylidae
Source: the annotation of a GenBank genome assembly
ACUUUGAUGGUGUGGUGGUAGCACGCCUCACCGGUAUGGAUUGAACGCGGGUUCGACUCCCACUCGAAGUC